UGGGGAAUAUUGGGCAAUGGGGGGAACCCUGACCCAGCAACGCCGCGUGAAGGAAGAAGGUUUUCGGAUUGUAAACUUCUGUCCUUGGUGAAGAGGAAGAGACGGUAGCCAAGGAGGAAGCCACGGCUAACUACGUGCCAGCAGCCGCGGUAAUACGUAGGUGGCGAGCGUUGUCCGGAUUUACUGGGUGUAAAGGGCGAGUAGGCGGGGAUCCAAGUCCGAUGUGAAAUGCAGGGGCUCAACCCCUGAGCUGCAUCAGAAACUGGAUUUCUUGAGUGAUGGAGAGGCAGGCGGAAUUCCUGGUGUAGCGGUGAAAUGCGUAGAUAUUAGGAGGAACACCAGUGGCGAAGGCGGCCUGCUGGACAGUAACUGACGCUGAGGCGCGAAAGCGUGGGGAGCAAACAGG
This 406-nucleotide ribosomal RNA is filed under the name uncultured prokaryote. Its description in RNAcentral is "bacterial SSU rRNA". It matches the Rfam family "Bacterial small subunit ribosomal RNA", at positions 355 to 776 of the family's 1533-position model. The record is from RNAcentral.